RNAcentral lists this ribosomal RNA (433 nucleotides) under uncultured bacterium. RNAcentral describes it as "partial 16S ribosomal RNA". It matches the Rfam family "Bacterial small subunit ribosomal RNA", at positions 29 to 507 of the family's 1533-position model. The record is from RNAcentral.
AACGAACGCUGGCGACAUGCCUAACACAUGCAAGUCGAACGAGACCUUCGGGUCUAGUGGCGCACGGGUGCGUAACGCGUGGGAACCUGCCCUUAGGUUCGGAAUAACUCCCCGAAAGGGGUGCUAAUACCGGAUAAUGUCUUCGGACCAAAGAUUUAUCGCCUUUGGAUGGUCCCGCGUUGGAUUAGCUAGUUGGGAGGGUAAAAGCCUACCAAGGCGACGAUCCAUAGCUGGUCUGAGAGGAUGAUCAGCCACACUGGGACUGAGACACGGCCCAGACUCCUACGGGAGGCAGCAGUGGGGAAUAUUGGACAAUGGGCGAAAGCCUGAUCCAGCAAUGCCGCGUGAGUGAUGAAGGCCUUAGGGUUGUAAAGCUCUUUUACCCGGGAUGAUAAUGACAGUACCGGGAGAAUAAGCUCCGGCUAACUCCGUG